This 405-nucleotide ribosomal RNA is filed under the name Bacillota bacterium. RNAcentral's name for it is "Firmicutes bacterium partial 16S ribosomal RNA". It matches the Rfam family "Bacterial small subunit ribosomal RNA", at positions 355 to 776 of the family's 1533-position model. The record is from RNAcentral. Lineage: Bacteria; Bacillati; Bacillota.
UGGGGAAUAUUGGACAAUGGGCGCAAGCCUGAUCCAGCAAUGCCGCGUGAGUGAUGAAGGCCUUAGGGUUGUAAAGCUCUUUCGCCCGCGACGAUGAUGACGGUAGCGGGAGAAGAAGCCCCGGCUAACUCCGUGCCAGCAGCCGCGGUAAUACGGAGGGGGCUAGCGUUGUUCGGAAUUACUGGGCGUAAAGGGCGCGCAGGCGGCUGCUCAAGUCAGGCGUGAAAGGCCUGGGCUCAACCCGGGAAUUGCGCUUGAGACUGGGCUGGCUUGAGUGCGGGAGAGGAUGGUGGAAUUCCCAGUGUAGAGGUGAAAUUCGUAGAUAUUGGGAAGAACACCGGUGGCGAAGGCGGCCAUCUGGACCGCAACUGACGCGGAGGCGCGAAAGCGUGGGGAGCAAACAGG